This 253-nucleotide ribosomal RNA is filed under the name uncultured bacterium. RNAcentral's name for it is "partial 16S ribosomal RNA". It matches the Rfam family "Bacterial small subunit ribosomal RNA", at positions 524 to 776 of the family's 1533-position model. The record is from RNAcentral.
UACGUAGGAGGCGAGCGUUGUCCGGAGUUACUGGGCGUAAAGGGUGCGCAGGCGGUGGCCCGCGUGGGCGGUGAAAGCUCCUGGCUCAACUGGGAGAGGGCCGUCCAGACGGGGUCACUUGAGGGGCGGAGAGGGGCGUGGAAUUCCGGGUGGAGCGGUGAAAUGCGUAGAUAUCAGGAGGAACACCGGUGGUGUAGACGGCUUUCUGGACCGUAACUGACGCUGAGACACGAAAGCGUGGGUAGCAAACAGG